Molecule: ribosomal RNA, 764 nt
Filed under: Glomeromycotina sp. OTU31 DJMC-2012
Lineage: Eukaryota; Fungi; Glomeromycota
Description: eukaryotic LSU rRNA
Rfam family: Eukaryotic large subunit ribosomal RNA
Source: RNAcentral
AGCGGAGGAAAAGAAAAUAACAAUGAUUCCCUCAGUAACGGCGAGCGAAGAGGGAUAAGCUCAAAUUUUAAAUCUGUUGGGUUCCACUUAACAGAGUUGUAUUUUGAAGAAACGUUUUCUGCGUCCAGGAUUAGCCUAAAUCCUUUGGGAUAAGGUAUCAUGGAGGGUGAGAAUCCCGUUCAUGGUUAAUCUUAAGGAAGCUCUACGAUACGUUUUCCAAGAGUCGAGUUGUUUGGGAUUGCAGCUCAAAAUGGGAGGUAAAUUUCUCCUAAGGCUAAAUAUUGGCGAGAGACCGAUAGCGAACAAGUACCGUGAGGGAAAGAUGAAAAGAACUUUGAAAAGAGAGUUAAACAGUACGUGAAAUUGUUGAAAGGGAAACGAUUGAAGUCAGUCAUACCAACGGGAAAUCAACCUUUUGAGCUNGGUCUCGUGGGUUUUGAAGAGUUUCAAAGCCUUCGGAUUCGCGGGAUUGGGAUCUCUUGGUGUACUUUUUCGUACGGUUAGUCAACAUCGGUUUUGAAUGUCAUAAAAUGACUGGAGGAAUGUAGCUUCGAUCUCGUAUUGAAGUGUUAUAGCCUUUGGUAGAUGUGAUGUUUGAGACCGAGGAUUGCAACGGAUACCCUUCAGGGCUAUUCGUCUGAUCUCUGAUACGUUGCCUUGAUGUUGAAAGCUUGCUUAUGAUGUUAGGGUAUUACGGUCAAAAGGUUAGAACGAAUUACAUUCGUUAAGGAUGUUGACGUAAUGACUUUAAACGACCCGUCUUG